AUUCCUACGGGGGGCAGCAGUGGGGAAUAUUGCACAAUGGGGGAAACCCUGAUGCAGCGACGCCGCGUGAAGGAAGAGGUAUUUCGGUAUGUAAACUUCUAUCAGCAGGGAAGAAAAUGACGGUACCUGACUAAGAAGCCCCGGCUAACUACGUGCCAGCAGCCGCGGUAAUACGUAGGGGGCAAGCGUUAUCCGGAUUUACUGGGUGUAAAGGGAGCGUAGACGGCUUGGCAAGCCAGAUGUGAAAGGCUGGGGCUCAACCCCAGGACUGCAUUUGGAACUGUCAUGCUAGAGCG
RNAcentral lists this ribosomal RNA (296 nucleotides) under uncultured bacterium. RNAcentral describes it as "partial 16S ribosomal RNA". It matches the Rfam family "Bacterial small subunit ribosomal RNA", at positions 335 to 648 of the family's 1533-position model. The record is from RNAcentral.